Molecule: non-coding RNA, 299 nt
Organism: Ascaris lumbricoides (common roundworm)
Lineage: Eukaryota; Metazoa; Nematoda; Chromadorea; Rhabditida; Ascarididae
Source: Rfam
GCCGGGCGUUGUGGCGGGCGCCUGUAAUGCAAGUGAGUGGCAGGUAGAUGGUGGUGGAUGGAGUGAGAGGAGGAGUACUGCUGGUUGUUCGGCGGCGGCGACCGAGCGUCCAGACCAAGCGCGGCGUCGAUAAGCUGUCAUCAGGGUAGCUUGGAGACAGCCGGUCGUAUAAUGAGGGGCGCACGGCUCAGGGCCGAAAGGCAGCAGGCAAAAGUCCCCGCGUCGCGACGGUGGUCGGAUAGCGCUUGCGAGUGGUUGGCAUCCAGUAGCCUCCUCAAUACCUCCAGACCCAUCGUCGA